Molecule: ribosomal RNA, 505 nt
Filed under: uncultured Oceanobacillus sp.
Lineage: Bacteria; Bacillati; Bacillota; Bacilli; Caryophanales; Bacillaceae
Description: bacterial SSU rRNA
Rfam family: Bacterial small subunit ribosomal RNA
Source: RNAcentral
AGUCUGACGGAGCAACGCCGCGUGAGUGAUGAAGGUUUUCGGAUCGUAAAACUCUGUUGUUAGGGAAGAACAAGUUGGGUAGUAACUGACCCAACCUUGACGGUACCUAACCAGAAAGCCACGGCUAACUACGUGCCAGCAGCCGCGGUAAUACGUAGGUGGCAAGCGUUGUCCGGAAUUAUUGGGCGUAAAGCGCUCGCAGGCGGUCCUUUAAGUCUGAUGUGAAAUCUCGCGGCUCAACCGCGAACGGUCAUUGGAAACUGGAGGACUUGAGUACAGAAGAGGAGAGUGGAAUUCCACGUGUAGCGGUGAAAUGCGUAGAGAUGUGGAGGAACACCAGUGGCGAAGGCGACUCUCUGGUCUGUAACUGACGCUGAGGAGCGAAAGCGUGGGGAGCGAACAGGAUUAGAUACCCUGGUAGUCCACGCCGUAAACGAUGAGUGCUAGGUGUUAGGGGGUUUCCGCCCCUUAGUGCUGAAGUUAACGCAUUAAGCACUCCGCCUGG